GUGAUUGGCGCAGCCUGGUAGCGCACUUCGUUCGGGACGAAGGGGUCGGAGGUUCG
This 56-nucleotide transfer RNA is filed under the name Klebsiella pneumoniae UHKPC24. RNAcentral's name for it is "tRNA-Pro". Lineage: Bacteria; Pseudomonadati; Pseudomonadota; Gammaproteobacteria; Enterobacterales; Enterobacteriaceae. The record is from RNAcentral. RNAcentral also lists the same sequence under 2 other names.